UACGUAGGGGGCAAGCGUUGUCCGGAAUCAUUGGGCGUAAAGCGCGUGUAGGCGGCCCGGUAAGUCCGCUGUGAAAGUCCAGGGCUCAACCCUGGAAUGCCGGUGGAUACUGUCGGGCUCGAGUCCGGAAGAGGCGAGUGGAAUUCCUGGUGUAGCGGUGGAAUGCGCAGAUAUCAGGAGGAACACCAAUAGCGAAGGCAGCUCGCUGGGACGGUACUGACGCUAAGGCGCGAAAGCGUGGGGAGCGAACAGG
RNAcentral lists this ribosomal RNA (253 nucleotides) under uncultured bacterium. Its description in RNAcentral is "partial 16S ribosomal RNA". It matches the Rfam family "Bacterial small subunit ribosomal RNA", at positions 524 to 776 of the family's 1533-position model. The record is from RNAcentral.